This 732-nucleotide transfer RNA is filed under the name uncultured cyanobacterium. RNAcentral's name for it is "partial 16S-23S ribosomal RNA intergenic spacer". The stretch from base 209 to 281 matches the Rfam family "tRNA". Lineage: Bacteria; Bacillati; Cyanobacteriota. The record is from RNAcentral.
CAGGGAGACAACAAAAUGUUUAAUAUUAUUAUUUUGUCACCUUAGGUCGAUCGGUAUCUCACGUUUUUAAUUUAUUAAGAAUUUCAUUUCCUAAGUUUUUCUAGGUCACACCCAUUAUUUUUCCCGGGCCAUUAGCUCAGGUGGUUAGAGCGCACCCCUGAUAAGGGUGAGGUCCCUGGUUCAAGUCCAGGAUGGCCCAUUCGGUGUUGGGGGUUUAGCUCAGUUGGUAGAGCGCCUGCUUUGCAAGCAGGAUGUCAGGAGUUCGAGUCUCCUAACCUCCACUGACCGAACUUGAUUCCCAUCUCCAAUUCUUUUGGAGUUGAGCUCGAUUGGAGUGUGAUUUAGAUGUGUCCGCUGGAUGACCCCAGCUUCCUGUCAUUCCAAGUUUUAGGUUGAUUCCUUGAAUUUGGUUGAUAAGAUGCUGGGCUCGGAUUAAAUGAUCAAGCAAUUGAUGAUUUGAUUUGAAGUUCUAGCAGAACCUUGACAACUGCAUAGGUGAGUCUGGAAAAAACAAAGCAUCUUACGGAUGCAUUGUUUUGAAUCUGAUCUUCCGCAAGGGAGAUUGGAUCUAGAACAAUGAAAAUUCUUUUGAGCAAGAGCCGAGACUCUUGAGCGUUCUUUGAUUCGUGUCGAGCGAAUCAGAGUUUGAUUUUGUUUUUAGCUUGAGUGAAAAUUCAAGCUGAAACCAUGAGAAUCUGCUUUCAACGGCGGUAAGCGUUCAGGAGGUUAAUU